This is a long non-coding RNA of Maylandia zebra (zebra mbuna), 843 nucleotides long. RefSeq lists it as uncharacterized. The record is from RefSeq and is a predicted model, not a curated record. Lineage: Eukaryota; Metazoa; Chordata; Actinopteri; Cichliformes; Cichlidae.
GCCUAUGAAGUGAGACGGUGCAGAGGAAAAGAUAACGGUAUUCAUUCACCCCUGGCACAGGGACGUCCUACGCGAAAAGUGCUGCAGGCUCCCUGAUGGCAGCACGGACAGCAGCCGGUUGUUGCUGGAAUCCCAUGCGAUCUUCCUGGCUAUGGAUCAUUUCAUGUAUAUGUCCUGUUGGUUGAGUAGACCAUCCUCCCAAGGACCAACUGGUCCCAUCAAAUGCAGAUCCUCAUCCAGGUCAUCUUCCCGAGCACCCAGUACGUCACCACGUCAUCGCCUGGCUCCUGUGGUCACAUUUAUGGGAUUUUAGGACUUCCAUUGGCCCAGGGUGUGGCUGAGGGAUUCCUCGAAGGAAGUGCUAGAAGGCUGCUGCCCCCGCGACCUGGCCCCGGACAAAGCGGAUGAAGAUGGAUGGAUGGAUGGACAAUUUGAUUAUUUCUAAUAAGAAGAGUGAAGAAAUUUCUAACUGAUCCAUGUCAUGUUGUGUACUUUUCUGGAUUGUAUACUUAUUGGUCUAAGAAAGAUACAGAUUAUGUUUAUAUGAAACAUGUGUAUACUUACUGCAUUUAAUGUAUUUAUCCAUAUAUAGUACAUAUUAUAGAAGGUAACACCUGCAUAUGUGUAAAGAAAUGGCUUUGAUUUUGCCACCUAAUCUGAUUUCCAUGCCACCCUCAUGCAACUCUAAGAAAACGUUUCUACAUCUGACCCUGCCUGGUUCUGCCAGAGGUUUCUUCCUAUUAAAAGGAGUUUUUCUUCCUGCUGUUGCCAGGUGAUUGCUUAUAGGGGGUUGUGUUAUUUUGGGGGAGUUCUCUUCACUAUUUUAGGGUUUUUACUUUACUA